CACAAACUAAACUGGACCGAAUUAAGCCAAAGCCACAGGAGACGGUUACUUAAUGGACAGAGAAUUAAGUGACUGCUGAGAUUGUCCCUGCCGCAAUAUAUGGAAUGGAUUGCUCGAUGGACGAGUAUUACCACAGUGGUCAAUGCCACAAAUGCCCACAAUGUCCACCUGGCCAAGAGCUGAAAGAGGACUGUGGUUAUGGUGUAGGUGUGUCAGCAAUGUGUGGCGUAUGUGACGUUCGGUGGUUUAAGGAAGACUGGGGCUCUCACCCUUGCGCACUGUGCCAGAACUGCCGCAGACUCAAUAGACACCAAAUCAAGCGCUGCACACACACAGACAAUGCAGUAUGCGGAAACUGCCU
Molecule: long non-coding RNA, 361 nt
Organism: Sinocyclocheilus rhinocerous
Lineage: Eukaryota; Metazoa; Chordata; Actinopteri; Cypriniformes; Cyprinidae
Exons: 3
Source: RefSeq, a predicted model, not a curated record